CUAACCCAGACCCGUAAUCCGGGUCGGGGACCGUGCAUGGUAGGCAGUUUGACUGGGGCGGUCUCCUCCUAAAGAGUAACGGAGGAGUACGAAGGUGCGCUCAGACCGGUCGGAAAUCGGUCGUAGAGUAUAAAGGCAAAAGCGCGCUUGACUGCGAGACAGACACGUCGAGCAGGUACGAAAGUAGGUCUAAGUGAUCCGGUGGUU
This 207-nucleotide ribosomal RNA is filed under the name uncultured Isochrysis. RNAcentral describes it as "partial Bacterial large subunit ribosomal RNA". It matches the Rfam family "Bacterial large subunit ribosomal RNA", at positions 2222 to 2428 of the family's 2925-position model. Lineage: Eukaryota; Haptophyta; Isochrysidales. The record is from RNAcentral.